UUGUUACAUAGUGAUGUUGGAGAAAUGACUGAAUUUAAAUGAAAGCGGUAAUAGAUGUGGGCAGAACGUCAGGAGAGAAUGCUUCUGGAACAUGGCUGUACAGCCUGGAAAACACAUAACAACCCCAGUUUUUUAAAAAUAUGGUAAAUAUAGACUAUGAUUGCUUGGAGUGUCACAAUAAUAUCCAUCAGAACACUUAAAGGGAUCACUUUAAGGUUCGGUUCCCGAAUAGGAAUGGGAAAAGGAUCCCUGUCUCUUUAAAUGGGCGCAAAAGGGGAUUUCUUUGCCUGUUCCCUGGUUGUACAAGGAACUGAAAUCCCUCCUAUUGACGCCUCUUUUAAAAAGGUACGGGAGCCCCACUUCAGUUUAUACUUUAGCAAGGCCAGCGAGGCCCACACAAGGCUGGGAUGAUGCACCCUGCCUUCGAUUGUGAUGCGCACAUGGUUCUAUGACAGUUGAAGCUGUCAUAGUUGAGGCUGACAGUUCAGGCUGACAGUUGAGGAGCCCCAGCCCUGGGGCAAAAGGUGCUGAGAGGGGCUUCCCAUGGCCAGAAAGAGAAGCGGGAGAAGGAUGUCCCAUCACCAGGUAAGGGAAGCAGAGGAUGGAGAUCCAACCAGGUAAGAGACGGAGGGGAGGGAGGAGAGCCAGCAGUCAGGUAAGGGAUGAAGAGGAAGGAGAGUCCAUGUUCAGGUAAGGGAUGAAGAGGAAAGACACCCAAUGAUCAGGUAAGAGAAGAGGAAGGCCACCAAAUGAUCAGGUAAGGGAUGAAGAGGAAAAAUACCUAAUCAUCAGGUAAGAGAAGAGGAAGGUCACAAAAUGAUCAGGUAAGGGAUGAAGAGGAAAGACACCUAAUGAUCAGGUAAGAGAAGAGGAAGGCCACAAAAUGAUCAGGUAAGGGAUGAAGAGGAAAGACACCCAAUGAUCAGGUAAGAGAAGAGGAAGGCCACCAAAUGAUCAGGUAAGGAUGAAGAGGAAAAUUCCCAAUAAUCAGGUAAGGGAUGAAGAGGAAGGUCACACAAUUAUCAGGUAAGAGAAGAGGAAGGCCACAAAAUUAUCAGGUAAGGAUGAAGAGGAAACAUACCUAAUAAUCAAGAAAGUGAUGAAGAGGAAGAAUACUCAACAAUUGGGAAAGAGAAGAGGAAGGCUACCAAAUCAUCAGGUAAGGAUUGAAGAGGAAACAUACAUUCUAAUCAGGUACGUGAUGAAGAGGAAGAAUACACAAUGAUCAGGUAAGUGAUGAAGAGGAAGAAUACACAAUGAUCAGGUAAGUGAUGAAGAGGAAGAAUACACAAUGAUCAGGUAAGUGUUGAAGAGGAAGUAUAUCCAAUGAUCAGGUAAGAGAAGAGGAAGGCAAACAUAAAUAUCAGGUAAGGGAUGAAGAGGAAAAAUGCCUAAUAAUCAGGUAAGUGAUGAAGGGGAAGGUCACCCUAUUAUCAGGUAAGAGAAGAGGAAGUAUAUUCAAUAACCAGGUAAGAGAAGAGGAAAGAUAUCACAUCAGGUAAGGAAUGAAGAGGAAAAUGCCAAAUUAUCAGGAAAGUGACGAAGAGGAAAGACACCCAAUCAUCAGGUAAGUGAAGAGGCGUUUUUAAAAUCUAUUCUCUGGAAGCAUCCAAUGAAAUGGGUCUGCAUGAAGAGAAAUCAAUAAGGAAGGAAGAAAUAAAAUCGAAGGAAGGAAGGAAGGAAGGAAGGAAGGAAGGAAGGAAGGAAGGAAGGAAGGAAGGAAGACAGAAAGAAAGAAAGAAAGAAAGAAAGUUGAUUUGAUUGGGAGGAAAACCAAGGUAGGCAGGAGAAAAGCAGGUGUGCCCUAGAGAAGUGAGGAAUACAUGUAUGUAUCUCACAGUCAAACGCCUGUGUGCAGCAAGAGACAGUUGGGAAGAACCAGGUCUUGAUGUGGACUGAAGACGGGCCCCGAAGGAGGAGGAGCGCCCUGGGAGAAAAGGCGACACUUGCCAGGCACAGGUGACUCUGGAAACGCACGGCUGUUGGAAGAAGCCAAAAGGAAUGGUUUUCCUUUGCACCCAAAGGAGAGCCGUGUUUUCUCUUGGAAAACUAAGAAUCCUAUUGAGAAGAGACCACAAAGACCUUCCUGCCUGAGUCCGAAUGCCAGGAAGCCAUGACUAACGCAGCCUUGAGAAGCGGGUGACCCAUUUCCAUGCAGAGAUCUCCAACGGAGAAGAGUCCCUCUUCCAAGGAGUCUUUGGCCACCUUGCCAUGUGGAAGGAGACAUCCCGGCAAGUGGGUGUCAGAAGGAGAGGCUCAGGCGGGUAAGUCCCGAGGGCCCUUUCCACCAUGCCCAGGGUCGCACUGGCCGCCACUUUUGGGGCCGGGAAGGAAUUUUCCUCCGGGACCGAUUAGCCGAGGAUCUGGGAGGUUUUUCGCCUUCCUCUGGGCAUCCGGCAGCGGCCGCCGGGUAGGAAGGUUCACUAGAUACAACUCACUAGGCUCAGCUCAGGAAAAGGUGAUGUCUUUGUGAGGGAAAAUUAAGAAAGCACGUGGAUAUGGAAGCUUUGAAAUGGAAAAUCUGUGUCCAGAGAAAGUAGGAAGGCAAGGUCUUUAGGGGAACAAAGAAGAAGGAAACUGUCACCAUUUGGAAAUGGAAGAUGGCACACUGCUGGAUACAAUUGAAUGCAAACAACCAAACAGCAAGAAAGUGUUGGAUGACUAGAGAAAGAUAGAUGCCCAGUCCUGAAGAGCAUCACCCUCCACUUGACAGAAAAGGAAAGGAGAGGAGAGGAGAGGAGAGGAGAGGAGAGGAGAGGAGAGGAGAGAAAGGGAAGGAAAGGUCUUUUCGGCCAUGCCCUGGGUAGCACUGACCGCCACUUUUGGGGUCGGGAAGGAAUUUUCCUCCAGGGCGGAUUGGGCCCUGGUCCUGGAGGUUUUUCGCCUUCCUCAGGGCAUCCGGCAAAGGCCUCACCAUGUCAGGCUCAGACGCACUCUCAGGCCACAGCAGGCCCAUCUUGACCUAACCAACAAAUGCAAGCCAAUUGAAAUAAAUGCCAUGAAUCUGGAAA
Anolis carolinensis (green anole) is the source of this 3011-nucleotide long non-coding RNA. RefSeq lists it as uncharacterized. Lineage: Eukaryota; Metazoa; Chordata; Lepidosauria; Squamata; Anolidae. The transcript has 2 exons. The record is from RefSeq and is a predicted model, not a curated record.